UACGGAAGGCAGCAGUGGGGAAUAUUGCACAAUGGGCGAAAGCCUGAUGCAGCUAUGCCGCGUGUAUGAAGAAGGCCUUAGGGUUGUAAAGUACUUUCAUCGGGGAGGAAAAAACAAAACUAAUAAUUUUAUUUCUUGACGUUACCCGAAAAAGAAGCACCGGCUAACUCCGUGCCAGCAGCCGCGGUAAUACGGAGGGUGCUAGCGUUAAUCAGAAUUACUGGGCGUAAAGAGCACGUAGGUGGUUUUUUUAAGUCAGAUGUGAAAUCCCUGGGCUUAACCUAGGAACUGCAUUUUGAAACUGAAAUACUAGAGUAUCGUAGAGGGAGGUAGAAUUCUAGGUGUAGCGGUGAAAUGCGUAGAUAUCUGGAGGAAUACCUGUGGCGAAAGCGGCCUCCUAAACGAAUACUGACACUGAGGGUGCGAAAGCGUGGGGAGCAAAACGAGGGAUUAGGAUACC
RNAcentral lists this ribosomal RNA (460 nucleotides) under uncultured bacterium. RNAcentral describes it as "bacterial SSU rRNA". It matches the Rfam family "Bacterial small subunit ribosomal RNA", at positions 340 to 786 of the family's 1533-position model. The record is from RNAcentral.